This 447-nucleotide long non-coding RNA is filed under the name Homo sapiens (human). Its description in RNAcentral is "non-protein coding lnc-SCAPER-5:1". The record is from RNAcentral. Lineage: Eukaryota; Metazoa; Chordata; Mammalia; Primates; Hominidae.
CAUCUUUUUAAAUGAGGUCGAGGCUUGAAGAGUGGAGAGAACUUUAAGUUGUUAUAUGACUUGGCAGAUCAACUACAUGCUGCAGUUGGUGCUUCCCGUGCUGCUGUUGAUGCUGGCUUUGUUCCCAAUGACAUGCAAGUUGGACAGACGGGAAAAAUAGUAGCACCAGUAAGUAUUGCAAUAAAAUAUGCUGUGUAAAAUGUUAUGGGGAUAAGUACUGUAUGUAUUUGUUGAACAGUGAUCUCAGUGAUUUACCUUACUCAGUGUUCCUGAGCAGUUAGCCAGUACCAUGGUGAAUAUGUCAUUUUCACAAGGUCUGUGUAGUUCUUGAUCCUAGUAAAAUGCCCAGCAGUUCUUAAAUCCAGCUUAUUAUUCAAGUAUUUUAAAGCAGUGGAACAUUUUAUCAAAUUAAGUCAUAUUACAUCAAAUAAAACAUUGAUAAAAGCA